This 21-nucleotide non-coding RNA is filed under the name Rattus norvegicus (Norway rat). Lineage: Eukaryota; Metazoa; Chordata; Mammalia; Rodentia; Muridae. The record is from RNAcentral.
AACCGUGCUGCAUUCAUAUCC